GGGGUCGACUGGUUUUGACAGCAAGUCGAAUUGGAAGGUAAGCACGUCGAGAACUGGGACAAUUCUCGUAAAUAAAAGGUUCUAACAAUUUUACACGGCGAAAAUAACUACGCUCUAGCUGCAUAAUCUGAAUUAUAGUAAGAUUAGCCUCGUCCCUAUCAGAUAGGGAAGCAGGAUUCUCCUUGAAAGCCUUGGUUUGUGGCGGUCAAUCCAGGGGAACCGUAAAAAUAAACCUAGAUUACCAUAAGCUUCGGGUGGUUUUCGAAAUUAAGAAGAUAAGUUUUGUGUGGCUGUUUCUGGCCAAGCACAAAAUCGAAAAUUCAAUCAGGAAAUAAGCGUGUAGAAAAUCUUUUAGUUGCUUGUUUGGACGGGAGUUCGAUUCUCCCCGACUCCACAA
Molecule: transfer-messenger RNA, 397 nt
Filed under: Flavobacteriaceae
Lineage: Bacteria; Pseudomonadati; Bacteroidota; Flavobacteriia; Flavobacteriales
Also listed under: 2 other names
Description: Flavobacterium sp007109225 Standard tmRNA
Rfam family: transfer-messenger RNA
About the family: Bacterial tmRNA, also known as 10Sa RNA or SsrA, is named for its dual tRNA and mRNA-like properties.
Source: RNAcentral